Molecule: ribosomal RNA, 434 nt
Filed under: uncultured Clostridium sp.
Lineage: Bacteria; Bacillati; Bacillota; Clostridia; Eubacteriales; Clostridiaceae
Also listed under: 1 other name
Description: partial 16S ribosomal RNA
Rfam family: Bacterial small subunit ribosomal RNA
Source: RNAcentral
ACGGAAGGCAGCAGUGGGGAAUAUUGCACAAUGGGCGAAAGCCUGAUGCAGCGACGCCGCGUGAGUGAAGAAGUAUCUCGGUAUGUAAAGCUCUAUCAGCAGGGAAGAAAAUGACGGUACCUGACUAAGAAGCCCCGGCUAACUACGUGCCAGCAGCCGCGGUAAUAUGUAGGGGGCAAGCGUUAUCCGGAUUUACUGGGUGUAAAGGGAGCGUAGACGGUUUGGCAAGUCUGAAGUGAAAUGCGGGGGCUCAACUCCUGAACUGCUUUGGAAACUGUCGAACUAGAGUGCAGGAGAGGUAAGUGGAAUUCCUAGUGUAGCGGUGAAAUGCGUAGAUAUUAGGAGGAACACCAGUGGCGAAGGCGGCUUACUGGACUGUAACUGACGUUGAGGCUCGAAAGCGUGGGGAGCAAACAGGAUUAGAUACCCUGGUA